CAAUAGCGUAUAUUUAAGUUGUUGCAGUUAAAAAGCUCGUAGUCGGAUUUUGGCUGAGAACGAACGGUCCGCCGUUAGGUGUGCACUGUUUGGUCCCAGCUUCCUGGUGAGGAGGUGUGCUUCACGGCCACUUAGUCACCGUGGUUACUUUGAAAAAAUUAGAGUGUUCAAAGCGGGCUUACGCUUGAAUAUAUUAGCAUGGAAUAACACCAUAGGACUCCUGUCCUAUUUCGUUGGUCUCGGGACGGGAGUAAUGAUUAAGAGGAACAGUUGGGGGCAUUCGUAUUUCAUUGUCAGAGGUGAAAUUCUUGGAUUUAUGAAAGACGAACUCCUGCGAAAGCAUUUGCCAAGGAUGUUUUCAUUG
Molecule: ribosomal RNA, 364 nt
Filed under: uncultured eukaryote
Lineage: Eukaryota
Description: partial 18S ribosomal RNA
Rfam family: Eukaryotic small subunit ribosomal RNA
Source: RNAcentral